This 238-nucleotide non-coding RNA is filed under the name Mesobacillus subterraneus. RNAcentral's name for it is "Bacillus subterraneus T-box sequence". It matches the Rfam family "T-box leader". Rfam says of the family: Uncharged tRNA acts as the effector for transcription antitermination of genes in the T-box leader family. Lineage: Bacteria; Bacillati; Bacillota; Bacilli; Caryophanales; Bacillaceae. The record is from RNAcentral.
GAUAAAGCGAAGACAGGGACAAGUAAUUUUUUGCGAUCAGCAUGCACAGAGAGCCGGGUUAGCUGGAAGCCGGUGAUGCCGUAAUGGAAUGAACUCACCCUGGAGCGCCAGUUUGAAAGGAAACUAGUAAAACUGGCCGAGUGCCCCGCACUUGUUGUCAAAAUCACGAGCGCACGCGUUAAGCGUGAAGAAGGGUGGUACCGUGGAACAAGGAGCUAAAGCCUAUUCCAUCCCUUUG